This 76-nucleotide transfer RNA is filed under the name Bacillota bacterium. Its description in RNAcentral is "tRNA-Thr". It matches the Rfam family "tRNA". Rfam says of the family: Transfer RNA (tRNA) molecules are approximately 80 nucleotides in length. Their secondary structure includes four short double-helical elements and three loops (D, anti-codon, and T loops). Lineage: Bacteria; Bacillati; Bacillota. The record is from RNAcentral.
GCCUUCUUAGCUCAACUGGUAGAGCAACCGCCUUGUAAGCGGUAGGUUAUUGGUUCAAGUCCGAUAGAAGGCACCA